Molecule: long non-coding RNA, 361 nt
Organism: Cebus imitator (Panamanian white-faced capuchin)
Lineage: Eukaryota; Metazoa; Chordata; Mammalia; Primates; Cebidae
Exons: 2
Source: RefSeq, a predicted model, not a curated record
UUCUGUGAAGUUUAUUUCCCAUCUUUCUUCUGGGCUGCAUGCCUGGAGGUGACCAACCAAAGCUUCACCGAGGGCACGGGGCAAGAAAAUUUUGGAAUCCGGGAGAAUCCACCAACCAUCCCAGGUUUUACUAGCCUGAAGAUUUGACACUUGCUUUUUUUUCUUUUGGAGAGUAGACUGGAUGAUCAGUCCUCAGCCCACUCUUCAAUCAAUCAAAUCGGUGAAGAUUUAUGGAACACCUGCCAUGAGCCAGGCACUGCUUUAGAAGCUGGAGACAUAGAACUGAACAAGAGCAACAAAAUCUCUGGUCUCAUGGAACUUUUAUUGAACUUUAUUUCAAUAAAGAUACCAAUAAAGAAGA